Molecule: long non-coding RNA, 1338 nt
Filed under: Pongo abelii (Sumatran orangutan)
Lineage: Eukaryota; Metazoa; Chordata; Mammalia; Primates; Hominidae
Description: lincRNA
Source: RNAcentral
AAUACAGUACAGAUCUCUGUACUAUAAACGACAACAAGGAUCAAUCACAAUUUCAGUUCUUGUUACAUUGAUAAGACUCCUUCAGAAAGCAAUGAAGAGAAAAGCUGAAGUCAUAGUGAUUAGGAGUGUCUGUGUAAGUAAAAGCAACAGGCAAUCACUGAGUGUGGUGUGAGAGGCACGGAAAGAUUGGGAAUUCAGCAGGAAAAGGAAUUGAAGUCAAACCUCACCUACUUCUCAGAGUCUUCCGGAUUUUCUGAAUCGUCAGAAGCUUCAGUAUCUGAGGAAAGGACUCAGGCAACAAAUAAACAGCUAAGAUUUUACUAGAGUAUGAAAGGGAGAGCACUGGAGUGCAGUGUGGGGAUGGAGAUUCAGCUGUGGUGUCUGGAAGUGCAGGAGGGCAGCUGGAGGCACCUGGCCUCUGAAGCCUGUCUUCUUCACCUGGGUGAGAUCUGCUGGAGUCAGGAAGGACUUCCUGCUGCAAGGAUAAAGACCUAUGAAGCAUCGUGACCUGAGAAACAGUUUCACAGGCCACUCUUGGUAGGCUGAAGUGUGGUGGCAUAAUCAUGACUCACUGCAGCCUUGAACUCUGGGACUCAAGCUAAUCUCUUUCCUCAGCCUUCCCAGCAGCUGGGACUACAGGUAUAUGCCACCAAACCUAGCUAACAUUUUUUAAAAUUUUUUCUUUUGUAGAAAUGGUGUCUCGCUAUGUUGACCAGGCUGGUUUUAAACUCCUUGCCUCAAGUGAUCCUCCCAUCUUUGCCUCCCAAAGUCUUGGGAUUACAGGCAUAAGCCACUGCACCCAGCUACAAUACAUUUUGGAUGCUGACUUUAUAUCCUGUGACUUUGCUAUGGUCACUUAUUAUUUCUAGACAUUUUUGUUUUUGACAGAGUCUCACUGUGUUGCUUAGGCUGGAGUGCAGUGGCACAAUCUUCAUUCACUGCAACCUCUGCCUCCUGGGUUCAGGCUAUUCUCCUGCCACAGCCUCCAGAGUAGCUGGGACUACAGGCAUGCAACACCAUGCCCGGCUAAUUUUUGUAUUUUUAGUAGAGACGGGGGAAUCACCAUGUUGGUCAGGCUGGUCUUGAACUCCGGACCUCAAGUGAUCUGCCUGCAUCGGCCUCCCAAAGUGUUGGAAUUACAGGCGUGAGCCACCAUGCCUGGCCACAUGUUUUUUUGAUCCUUUAGGAUUUUCUACCAAGGCUAUCAUGUCAUCUAUAAUCAAGUACUCUUUUAUUUGUUUUUUUCCAAUUUGUUUUGUAUUUUAUUUCUUUUUUCUCAAAGCUUAUUGUACUGACUAAGAUCCCCAGAAUAAUGUUGAAUAAAAGUAUUGGAAACAG